Molecule: ribosomal RNA, 374 nt
Filed under: uncultured fungus
Lineage: Eukaryota; Fungi
Description: eukaryotic LSU rRNA
Rfam family: 5.8S ribosomal RNA (bases 1-67)
Source: RNAcentral
AUCAUCGAAUCUUUGAACGCACCUUGCACUCCUUGGUAUUCCGAGGAGUAUGCCUGUUUGAGUGUCAUGAAAUUCUCAACUACCUUUUAGCAUUUUAUGUUAAGGUGAAGUUGGAGCUGGAGGAUAGUUGCUAGUGUGCAACUUGAGUUGCUUGUUAGCUCCUCCUAAAUAAAUGAGCUUUUCUGAUAGAUCAUGGCUCAGUAACACUAAUGUGAUAAUUAUCUACAUUAAAUGUGAAAGCUGUGAGUAGAGUAACUUCAAUUGUGGAGAAGCUCCUAUAGAAAAGGGUAUGUCUUGGGGAUAAAUAAACCCUUGACUUGAAAUAUAAUGACAAAUCUGACCUCAAAUCAGGUAGGACUACCCGCUGAACUUAA